AGAGUUUGAUCAUGGCUCAGGACGAACGCUGGCGGCGUGCUUAACACAUGCAAGUCGAACGGAAAGGCCCUUCGGGGUACUCGAGUGGCGAACGGGUGAGUAACACGUGGGUGAUCUGCCCUGCACUCUGGGAUAAGCCUGGGAAACUGGGUCUAAUACCGGAUAGGACCGCAUGCUUCAUGGUGUGUGGUGCAAAGCUUUUGCGGUGUGGGAUGAGCCCGCGGCCUAUCAGCUUGUUGGUGGGGUAAUGGCCUACCAAGGCGACGACGGGUAGCCGGCCUGAGAGGGUGACCGGCCACACUGGGACUGAGAUACGGCCCAGACUCCUACGGGAGGCAGCAGUGGGGAAUAUUGCACAAUGGGCGCAAGCCUGGUGCAGCGACGCCGCGUGAGGGAUGACGGCCUUCGGGUUGUAAACCUCUUUCAGUAGGGACGAAGCGAAAGUGACGGUACCUACAGAAGAAGGACCGGCCAACUACGUGCCAGCAGCCGCGGUAAUACGUAGGGUCCGAGCGUUGUCCGGAAUUACUGGGCGUAAAGAGCUCGUAGGUGGUUUGUCGCGUUGUUCGUGAAAACUCACAGCUUAACUGUGGGCGUGCGGGCGAUACGGGCAGACUAGAGUACUGCAGGGGAGACUGGAAUUCCUGGUGUAGCGGUGGAAUGCGCAGAUAUCAGGAGGAACACCGGUGGCGAAGGCGGGUCUCUGGGCAGUAACUGACGCUGAGGAGCGAAAGCGUGGGUAGCGAACAGGAUUAGAUACCCUGGUAGUCCAA
RNAcentral lists this ribosomal RNA (773 nucleotides) under uncultured bacterium. RNAcentral's name for it is "bacterial SSU rRNA". It matches the Rfam family "Bacterial small subunit ribosomal RNA", at positions 8 to 798 of the family's 1533-position model. The record is from RNAcentral.